UACGUAGGGGGCAAGCGUUGUCCGGAUUCAUUGGGCGUAAAGCGCGGGCAGGCGGCCCGUUAAGUCGGCCGUGAAAGCCCCGGGCUCAACCUGGGAACUGCCUUCGAUACUGGAGAGCUUGAGUCCGGGAGAGAUGAGUGGAACUGCGAGUGUAGAGGUGAAAUUCGUAGAUAUUCGCAAGAACACCAGUGGCGAAGGCGGCUCACUGGCCCGGUACUGACGCUGAGGUGCGAAAGCGUGGGGAGCAAACAGG
This 253-nucleotide ribosomal RNA is filed under the name uncultured bacterium. RNAcentral's name for it is "partial 16S ribosomal RNA". It matches the Rfam family "Bacterial small subunit ribosomal RNA", at positions 524 to 776 of the family's 1533-position model. The record is from RNAcentral.